Molecule: long non-coding RNA, 1303 nt
Organism: Myodes glareolus (Bank vole)
Lineage: Eukaryota; Metazoa; Chordata; Mammalia; Rodentia; Cricetidae
Source: RefSeq, a predicted model, not a curated record
AUCGCCAUGAAAACUCAACAGGACAGAGUUCAGAGAACUCCCAGAUAGCUAAGGACUUGGGGAGUCCUGAAGAGUGGUACUACCCAAGGCUGGGGCCACGGAAGCUCUGCAAACAUCUCCCACUCCAGGUCCUAUGCAUCUCUUCUUACACCUCACAAGCCGUCCUUCCAUCCAGAGAUGAGCUCAGCCUGGACUACAGAAGGAUUUCUGGCAGUUAGACAAGAGCCAGCACUCCUCAGGAACUUGUGAAACAGCCUGGUAUCCAGAAUCUACAAUUGGCCCCUGCAACUCCCCUGAGGAGGGUGGGUGCUCUCUACCAGAAGAAGGAUGUAUGAGAGUCAUAGCAUGCCAGCGUCAGAAGGCACCUCGAGAUCACAGCCAACUUUCUCCAGAGAAAGAAACUGGAUGCCAGUAUGGGCCUUUGGUGACUGAAAGGACCAGGGAGCGAGGGGCAGAGGAGAGCCUAACUCAGAUGUCUUUCAAUCGCUGCACAGCGAUGCUGCCAUCUUGCCAGCCAGUGAUGCUUGCUAAGCAGAUAAUGGGGAGUUUGCUGUGACUCUGCUUCAAAAUGUCCUUGAAAACAUGGAAGGAAAAAUUCCAACUUGGUGAUGCACGGGGAACGGUUAUGCGAAUACAAUUCUCGCAUGCCAAAAGUAUCCUUACAAAGAGACAGCAGUAUACGGAUGUUGUUUGCCUUUAACCACUGAACCCUUGAGCAUAGCCAUCAAGGUCAUGAGUUUGUUCAAAGUCACCUUGCUUCUAUUGGCAUUCUCAGUUUCUGAAUGUCUGAGGUUUAAAGUUUUCUUGACAGGAGACUGCUCUUCCUAUGUUUUCCACCAUCUCUGAUACCCCCCCCCACACCAGCUCUCUCCAUCUUGUCUGAUGUGCUGGGAUGUUCAAGUCUGGUCCCCCAUCCCUUAAUGGUUGAGUCCAAGGGUCAUUGGCUCUGUAUUUCCAACUUGACUCCUUCCCCCCACAACAAAACAGAAGAUUCCUUUAUCUGUUGGCUUCCGUGUCAGUUCAGUCCAACUGCUUGGAGAUGGGAAGAAAUGAGUUCAAGAUACGUAUUUCCCAGUUGCCCAUCUGUGGGACCUUCAAGGUGUGAUGACAUCUAUCUACUGUAAAGGGCAAUUGUCAAACAGCUUCACCCUGCACAGAAUUCUCUCUUCCCUCCCCUGCACAGCUUCACCCUGCACAGCAGCUCUUCCUUCCCUCCCCUGUCCAGGCGGGGGUGGGGUCUGUUGAUGCUGGUGUUUUGAUGAACCCUUUGGGGUUCUGCGCUCUCCCCUGUGGCUUCUCCACA